Ictidomys tridecemlineatus (thirteen-lined ground squirrel) is the source of this 129-nucleotide small nucleolar RNA. NCBI's taxonomy places the organism in Eukaryota, Metazoa, Chordata, Mammalia, Rodentia, Sciuridae. The record is from Ensembl.
GGGUCAUUUCAAAGAGUUCUUGUGGAGGUGUGAAAUCAAGAGCUCUUGAUGCUCUACCUAAAGAAUGAGGUUCUCUGUGGACUACUAUAAUCACUCAGUAGAGCUAUGUUUUCCCAAGGAGCUAUAGGA